GAUGAACGCUGGCGGCGUGCCUAAUACAUGCAAGUCGAGCGAACAGACGAGGAGCUUGCUCCUCUGACGUUAGCGGCGGACGGGUGAGUAACACGUGGAUAACCUACCUAUAAGACUGGGAUAACUUCGGGAAACCGGAGCUAAUACCGGAUAAUAUAUUGAACCGCAUGGUUCAAUAGUGAAAGACGGUUUUGCUGUCACUUAUAGAUGGAUCCGCGCCGCAUUAGCUAGUUGGUAAGGUAACGGCUUACCAAGGCAACGAUGCGUAGCCGACCCGAGAGGGUGAUCGGCCACACUGGAACUGAGACACGGUCCGACUCCUACGGGAGGCAGCAGUAGGGAAUCUUCCGCAAUGGGCGAAAGCCUGACGGAGCAACGCCGCGUGAGUGAUGAAGGUCUUCGGAUCGUAAAACUCUGUUAUUAGGGAAGAACAAAUGUGUAAGUAACUAUGCACGUCUUGACGGUACCUAAUCAGAAAGCCACGGCUAACUACGUG
RNAcentral lists this ribosomal RNA (496 nucleotides) under uncultured bacterium. RNAcentral's name for it is "partial 16S ribosomal RNA". It matches the Rfam family "Bacterial small subunit ribosomal RNA", at positions 28 to 507 of the family's 1533-position model. The record is from RNAcentral.